UGGGGACUCGUCCAAUGGUAGGACUGCAGACUCUGGAUCUGCCUAUAGAGGUUCGAAUCCUUUGUCCUCAG
This 71-nucleotide transfer RNA is filed under the name bacterium. RNAcentral describes it as "tRNA-Gln". It matches the Rfam family "tRNA". From Rfam's summary of the family: Transfer RNA (tRNA) molecules are approximately 80 nucleotides in length. Their secondary structure includes four short double-helical elements and three loops (D, anti-codon, and T loops). RNAcentral also lists the same sequence under 1 other name. The record is from RNAcentral.